AUCAAAGGGAAUAACACUGUCGAUGGCUUUUUAGACUCAUCUUUUUUAAGGUGGCUCUUUGAAGAAAGAUCGUAUUGAACCAGUCAAUAGACAAGCAGAAGGUAAUAAGAAAAAAAAAAAAAAGCAUAACCCAACAUAAGCAAAAGAACACUUUCAAUGAUGGCUAACUAGAGUUAUUCUAUAAUUACUCCACCAUAGCCCUGAAAAUGAGUCACCAAAGACUGAAUAUUUAUAAGCUUUCUGACCUCAAAAAAAUUCAAAAUCUUAAAUGAGGUCACCUAAGGAGACUGUGGAAAACUUCCAUGCAACUUAUUGGCAGAUUUUAGUUCUUAAUUCAACAAGAGUGGUAUGAAACGCACGCCAUCUGGUUACUGGGAAAAUUCUAGUCCGCAUUAACUGCUUGUGUGAGAGACAUUCCUGCUAUUGAGCUGUAAAUGAGUGCACCUGCAAAUGCGGAAAAGAGCACGCCUUAUCACUUGCUCCUAGGGCUGGGAGACGUGAUGACGUAACACCGCCGUCCGUUCCAUCCGCUUUUAGACUCAUCAGUACAGCUGUUCUCCGCUCCUGCGAUUGUGCCUCGCUGUGCGCCGGAACAGGAGUGCGCGGUGGAGGGGGUUUCAACUGACACUGAGAGGAAACGGUCCCUUCUUGUUUCUCCAGGGCAACUCCAACAUCUCAGAUGAAGCGCAGGAACAAUAUCAGCACGUGGCUUGCAAGGUAAAAUUGAUCCAUGCAAAGCAGCUGAAACAAUGGCCAGUCCCCAAAGAACUAAACAGGAGGCGCUUCAGGAGCACUGUUCCUCUCCAUCCCGCCCAGCCGUGACACAGCCAGCCUGAUGCCCCUUUCCUCACCGCCGUUGCUCUGGAUCUUCAGCCGUCAUGGAGGAUUAAGGUCCAGAGCUGCUCCAGGCCUGAGUAAGUAUUGGGCUGACACUUCAAUCCG
This 942-nucleotide long non-coding RNA is filed under the name Bos indicus x Bos taurus (hybrid cattle). Its description in RNAcentral is "lncRNA (ENSBIXG00005020931.1)". Lineage: Eukaryota; Metazoa; Chordata; Mammalia; Artiodactyla; Bovidae. The record is from RNAcentral.